GACGAACGCUGGCGGCGUGCUUAACACAUGCAAGUCGAACGGAAAGGCCCUGCUUUUGUGGGGUGCUCGAGUGGCGAACGGGUGAGUAACACGUGAGUAACCUGCCCUUGACUUUGGGAUAACUUCAGGAAACUGGGGCUAAUACCGGAUAGGAGCUCCUGCUGCAUGGUGGGGGUUGGAAAGUUUCGGCGGUUGGGGAUGGACUCGCGGCUUAUCAGCUUGUUGGUGGGGUAGUGGCUUACCAAGGCUUUGACGGCUAGCCGGCCUGAGAGGGUGACCGGCCACAUUGGGACUGAGAUACGGCCCAGACUCCUACGGGAGGCAGCAGUGGGGAAUAUUGCACAAUGGGCGGAAGCCUGAUGCAGCAACGCCGCGUGCGGGAUGACGGCCUUCGGGUUGUAAACCGCUUUCGCCUGUGACGAAGCGUGAGUGACGGUAAUGGGUAAAGAAGCACCGGCUAACUACGUG
Molecule: ribosomal RNA, 468 nt
Filed under: uncultured bacterium
Lineage: Bacteria
Description: partial 16S ribosomal RNA
Rfam family: Bacterial small subunit ribosomal RNA
Source: RNAcentral